RNAcentral lists this long non-coding RNA (1053 nucleotides) under Catharus ustulatus (Swainson's thrush). Its description in RNAcentral is "lncRNA (ENSCUSG00005012276.1)". The record is from RNAcentral. Lineage: Eukaryota; Metazoa; Chordata; Aves; Passeriformes; Turdidae.
AUGGUCUAUCCCAGCCCCACCGACCCCCCCUCCCGCUGUGAAUGGUCUGUCCCUGCCCCCCCCCCGCGGCCUGCAAUGGUCGGUUCCGGCGCAGCCUCGCUCUGGAGUUUCCCUUCCGGGGUCAGAGGUGACGGCGGGGCCGGAAGCGGCGCCCGGCGGGACCCGGACCCGGCACCGGGAGGUACCGGGGGGGACACCCGGGGGGUGGCGGCUCCUUGGGGGGGUUCAGCUCCAUUCCCAGCCCCUCGGGACGGGCGGGGCCGGGCUCAGCCUCGCUGGGGCCGCUCCCGGGCCGGGCAGCGCAGCCCCGGUGGGAGCGGGACGGGAGCGGAGCUGUCACUGCGGGCCCUGCGCUGCUCCCGGCUCCGGGAGGCCUCGGGCAGCCCCGGGGAUCCGUUCAGCAGUCCCGUUAUACACCCUGGACGGAUCCCGGCAGCGAGACCUCGGCACGGGGAGAGCCCCAAGGAGCGAGAUUUGCUCCGCUCCUUUCACCGGGGAGCUGCGGAGAACCGGGGGGGGCUCCUUGGAGGGCAGAGGGGCUCGGAGGGGACCGAGAGGCUCCCGGGGGUACCGGCACUGCCCUUCCCUCAAUCUCCGAGCUCUGGGGUCGAGGGGCUGCGGGCUGGGUCUGUGCUGGGCUCCCGGGCUCUUCUUCUUUCCCAGCACCUGCUCUGGGGUGUUGGAAAAGCCCCCGGGUUUCAUCCCUUGCUCGAGGAAGGGAUCCAUCCUUGGAUCGCUUUGGGUGGGCGGAGGGGGCAGCGUGGGUUCCAAAUCCUGACCCAAAUCCUGACCCAAAUCCAGCCCCAAAUCCAGUCCCAAAUCCAGCUCCAAAUCCAGCCCCAAAUCCCACUGGGAAUGAUUUUUCCCACCCCCAGAGCGGCCCCGGGGGGUGACAGCACUGAACCCCCAAAUGUUGUGCUGGGCUGGGCUGGGACACAGCGAGGAGAGCCCCGAGUUCCAUCCCAGAUCUUCUGGAAUCGAGGGGAAAUGCGGGAUUCUGCAGGAUCCCGCUGCUGGUUUUGGGACAAAAUCACUUUUCCCGAGGCUCUCUGA